This 77-nucleotide transfer RNA is filed under the name Clostridiaceae bacterium. RNAcentral describes it as "tRNA-Arg". It matches the Rfam family "tRNA". Rfam says of the family: Transfer RNA (tRNA) molecules are approximately 80 nucleotides in length. Their secondary structure includes four short double-helical elements and three loops (D, anti-codon, and T loops). Further hydrogen bonds mediate the characteristic L-shaped molecular structure. tRNAs have two regions of fundamental functional importance: the anti-codon, which is responsible for specific mRNA codon recognition, and the 3' end, to which the tRNAs corresponding amino acid is attached (by aminoacyl-tRNA synthetases). tRNAs cope with the degeneracy of the genetic code in two manners: having more than one tRNA (with a specific anti-codon) for a particular amino acid; and 'wobble' base-pairing, i.e. permitting non-standard base-pairing at the 3rd anti-codon position. RNAcentral also lists the same sequence under 1 other name. The record is from RNAcentral. Lineage: Bacteria; Bacillati; Bacillota; Clostridia; Eubacteriales; Clostridiaceae.
GGGUCUAUAGCUCAGCCGGAUAGAGCAACAGCCUUCUAAGCUGUGGGUCGCAGGUUCGAAUCCUGCUAGGCUCACCA